Molecule: ribosomal RNA, 465 nt
Filed under: uncultured bacterium
Lineage: Bacteria
Description: partial 16S ribosomal RNA
Rfam family: Bacterial small subunit ribosomal RNA
Source: RNAcentral
GAUGAACGCUGGCGGCGUGCUUAACACAUGCAAGUCGAACGGAAAGGCUCCUGCUUGCAGGGGUACUCGAGUGGCGAACGGGUGAGUAACACGUGGGUGAACUGCCCUGCACUUCGGGAUAUGCCUGGGAAACAGGGUCUAAUACCGGAUAGGACGAUGGUUUGGAUGCGAUUGUGGAAAGUUUUUCGGUGUGGGUUGGGCUCGCGGGUUAUCAGCUGGUUGGUGGGGUAAUGGCUUACCAAGGCGGUGACGGGUAGCCGGCCGGAGAGCGGGUACGGCGACCAGGGGACUGAGGUACGGCGCAGACGCCUACGGGAGGCAGCAGUGGGGAGUAUUGCGGAACGGGCGCAAGCGUGAUGCAGCGGCGCCGGGUGGGGGAUGACGGCCUUCGGGGGGUAAACAACUUUCGCUGGGGACGAGGCGCAAGUGACGGUACCUGGAGAAGAAGCACCGGCUAACUACGUG